Mesocricetus auratus (golden hamster) is the source of this 739-nucleotide long non-coding RNA. RefSeq lists it as uncharacterized. The transcript is spliced from 2 exons. Lineage: Eukaryota; Metazoa; Chordata; Mammalia; Rodentia; Cricetidae. The record is from RefSeq and is a predicted model, not a curated record.
GCCCUGCGAAGCAGAGAAGUCACAGUCAAAUCUCUCUCCUGGGACAUGCAUCAGCCAGAAGGCUUCGAAAACUACCAGAAAUGAAGAAACUCAAAGGCUGGAGCUCAGGAGGAAGCCGAGGUACUCAGAGGUCCGUGACCUGCCCAAGUUUGAGCAUGGGACGGCCGUGUGGGCUUCCAUGGUUUUGUUUUUGAGACACUUUCAUGGACUCCAGCCUGGGCUCAAGGGCUGUGUAGAAGAGGAGGGGCCUGAACUCUUGAUCCUCCUGUCUCCACUCCCCUGGUGCUGGAAUGAGAUCUGAUUGGUCUGCAGCAAAAGGCUUGGAACUAAUUAAACCCAAAGUCGGGCAAAUCUUGACUCCCAGCUGUGCCUCCUCCCUCCAGGCUGCAGCAGGCUUGAACUGGCUCUGAUUUCAAGGUGUUAGCUGCCUGGCUUAGCCCAGAGCAGAUGGUCAAGCUACAGUGUGCCUGUGAGGCUGAUCCCAGGAAGGAAUCACUUUCCACAUUCUAGAAGCUAAAGAUGGCUCAUGGAAGCCGAGACAUUAAUCUUGCAGCUUGGACCAGAGCGUAGACUUUGGAAAAGAGUCAAGUGGAAAAAUCCCAUUUCUUCGUGCUCUUUGGAAGAAUAAUGAGAACUUACAGCCUGCAACAAUCUCUUUUCAUUUGCAGCUAUUGAAUUACCUGCUGGCUCAGCUCAUCUUUCUAUUUAAAAUGAGCAAUAAAAUAUACCCUGGGCCGUU